RNAcentral lists this non-coding RNA (31 nucleotides) under Rattus norvegicus (Norway rat). Lineage: Eukaryota; Metazoa; Chordata; Mammalia; Rodentia; Muridae. The record is from RNAcentral.
UGUAAAGGCCGUUAAAGAUAAGAGACUGAGC